This is a long non-coding RNA of Nerophis ophidion (straightnose pipefish), 1320 nucleotides long. RefSeq lists it as uncharacterized. The transcript has 5 exons. The record is from RefSeq and is a predicted model, not a curated record. Lineage: Eukaryota; Metazoa; Chordata; Actinopteri; Syngnathiformes; Syngnathidae.
UAAUGGCGCUUAACAUAAACACCAACACUUUGCACACAUAGUGCAGAGUGCAUUCGGCAUCUUUUCUUGCACACAAACACAGCCCUUCUGGGUGCUGUUUUCCGGUGCAAUGCUAAGACGUGCCAAGUCACACAGCUUGUGCAGCAGGGAGGUCCGCAAAGCCAGAGGGAGAUGGUACGUGACAGAGAGCAGGCCGUGCAUGGAUGUUUGUACGAGUUGUUUGGGAGUUCAAACGGAGCCGUGUUACUGAUUACGUGAACCUGUACAUACUGAAUGUACAUGAAGGCUCCUACUCCGGCUAAACUGAUCGUCACAAAUCUACUGGCCAACAUGGACUCUGCAGAAAAAGAAUGCCCCCACUCUUCGCUCACUGGCUUUGGACAGGCUCUCGAUAAUGAUCCCGCCCUCUCCUAAUUCACCGGGGAGUCGGACUGCUCCGAAAAGUUUCUUCAUCAGUGCUCAUCAGUUUUUGAUCAACAGCUUUUAUAGUGAGCCUGCUAUCUGACGAAGCUGUUGCAUUGGCUGUGGCAGCUAGCAGAGAAGCAGGCAGCCACCUGCUAUGGAUCAGAGUGCGGUCAAGAGAACAUGGAUCCCGACCACAUGUCAACCAGCAGGUUUCGCUGCCGUCGACUCCCCUGAGACACUGCGCGUCAACACACCCGUGGAGACACACCUCCGACUAUCAGAUACUCUGAGAUGAAAGCAAGCAGCAGUCACCGUCCUCAGCAAGCAUUGGCGACUCCUGCCAGUCAUCUGGUGCUGCUGCUCUGCUCACGCCGAUAGCUACAUGCGAGCAUAAACAAGAAAAAUAGGUUAAAUUAAAUCAAACACAUGUCUUUGCUAAACGGACAGCCACCACAUGCAGGACAUCUAACAUCUGUAAAGACCAAGUCCUGCAAGACGAUGUUGUUCAUAUCACCACGGCUGAUAUGUCUCACAUUACCUUGAAGAGGCACAAUCACAGCAAGGAUGAACCAACUUUACUGGAGCAUCAAGUUGCAACUACGGACUAAAUGUGAAUCGAUUUAGCUUCCUGGAUAGAGUUGGACAUCUGUAAGUAAUCACAACGAGCUAGGGUCGCAUUGUACCAAAAAAAGAGAUCAGCAUUGUCAUCUGAAAAAGGUAAACAAACUUGUUUGUUUCAUCAACUAUUUCAACUAAAGAAGAGUAAAUGGUGAUCUAUGUUAGGUUGUUUGUGAGUGUGUUACUACAUUAUUGAUUAAUAACUGUACUUUGUUUGCCAGUAUAUUACAAACUGCAAAGACUUUCCAAAUGUGCACUUAAUUUUUUAAAUAAAUAAAUAAAUGGGUUGUACUUGUA